GGAGAAGUGGCUGAGAGGUUGAAAGCGAUAGAUUGCUAAUCUAUUGUAUAGUAUUUACCGUACCGAGGGUUCGAAUCCCUUCUUCUCCU
Molecule: transfer RNA, 89 nt
Filed under: Chondria tumulosa
Lineage: Eukaryota; Rhodophyta; Florideophyceae; Ceramiales; Rhodomelaceae
Description: tRNA-Ser
Rfam family: tRNA
About the family: Transfer RNA (tRNA) molecules are approximately 80 nucleotides in length. Their secondary structure includes four short double-helical elements and three loops (D, anti-codon, and T loops). Further hydrogen bonds mediate the characteristic L-shaped molecular structure. tRNAs have two regions of fundamental functional importance: the anti-codon, which is responsible for specific mRNA codon recognition, and the 3' end, to which the tRNAs corresponding amino acid is attached (by aminoacyl-tRNA synthetases). tRNAs cope with the degeneracy of the genetic code in two manners: having more than one tRNA (with a specific anti-codon) for a particular amino acid; and 'wobble' base-pairing, i.e. permitting non-standard base-pairing at the 3rd anti-codon position.
Source: RNAcentral